GGGAAGGUCUGUAGCUCAGUGGCAGAGCACCUGCUUUGCACACCGAAGGUCUCAGGUUCAAUUCCUGAAGUCUCUUGCCA
Molecule: non-coding RNA, 80 nt
Organism: Podarcis lilfordi (Lilford's wall lizard)
Lineage: Eukaryota; Metazoa; Chordata; Lepidosauria; Squamata; Lacertidae
Source: the annotation of a GenBank genome assembly